CCUACGGGUGGCAGCAGUGGGGAAUAUUGGGCAAUGGGCGCAAGCCUGACCCAGCAACGCCGCGUGAAGGAAGAAGGCUUUCGGGUUGUAAACCUCUUUUGUCAGGGAAGAGUAGAAGACGGUACCUGACGAAUAAGCCACGGCUAACGACGUGCCCGCAGCCGCGGAAAUGCGGAGGUGGCAAGUGUUGUCCGGAUUUACUGGGUGUAGAGGGCGUGUAGACGGGUAGACAAGUGUGAAGUGAAAUCCUGGGGCUGAACCACGGGACUGACUUGGAAACUGUGGAUCUGGAGUGGAGGAGAGGGAAGCGGAAGUCGUAGUGGAGCGGUGAAAGGUGUAGAGAGUAGGAGGAACAGCAGGGGCGAAGGAGGCUUACUGGACUGUAACUGACGUUGAGGCACGAAGGCGGGGGGAGCAAACAGGAGUAGAUACCCGGGUAGUC
This 442-nucleotide ribosomal RNA is filed under the name uncultured bacterium. RNAcentral describes it as "partial 16S ribosomal RNA". It matches the Rfam family "Bacterial small subunit ribosomal RNA", at positions 338 to 795 of the family's 1533-position model. The record is from RNAcentral.